AUGGAGAAGCUGGAGAGAGGGGAAGGCACAAAAUAUGAUAGAUGCAGCAUUAAACAAUAUUUCAGCAAAUGAAAUAAUGAGAUGCAUCCAUAUUGGCUUACUUUGUGUUCAAGAAAAUGUAGUUGACAGACCAACCAUGGCUACUGUUGCACUCAUGCUUAAUAGUUAUUCUCUCACUCUCUCAAUACCUUCAAAACCUGCCUAUUUUUAUGGAAGUGGAACCAGAAGCCUACAAGACAUGGAGUUAUGGGCUGGCAAUAUAGGUUCAACAACAUCGGGUGAAUCGGUGAACCACGCUUCCAAUACUGAUCCAUACCCUCGAUAGAAUUCAUUCAUAAGGGUGAAUAUAUAUUCUUUUAUGUGUAAAUCACUAAAUUGGUCUAUAAAAUUGUAAAAGUUGGUCUCUCUGAAAUUUAGGAAUAAAUAAAAACGUAGAGAUUGAAAUAUGUCAAUAUUUUAAUCAUUAAUUUGAUUUGAUUGAAUUUUUUUUCAAUAAAAUUUGUUUUAGUUUAUGAUAUGCUCUAGAUAGUGAGACCCGCGCGAUGUGUGGGGUUGGCGUAUAACUUAUUUAAGUAUUGUUAGACUAAAUAUUUAAUUAUUAAAUGCUUAGAACAUGUCAUAGCUAGUAUAGACUUUUGAAAUAAUUAAACUCAUAUCUAAAGGAUAAAGGAUAUGUCUAGGACACGCUAGGAAAAGGUGACAAUUAAGGUACCCAUGGAAGAAUGGUGUGUAAUUUACUCCAACCAAUAUACAUUAGUCACAUAAACACAUUUUUAAAUGGUAUAUAUAAACUAUUUUGACCCUACCAACAAAUUGCUUAUUUUCAUUAACCAUUCUUCAAAGGUAAUCUAGAAAAAAAAACCUUAUUAAAAACCAUUGAAACUACUCCCAUCUACAUCCACCCUUUGGAUCGGAAUCGUGAACAUUUCUCCAUAUAAUAAUACUUUUCUUUUGAAAGUGAUAUAUUGAAGAGAUCAAAGCUGUCCUUCUUUCCACGAGAAUAGUACUCGCCGCCAAUUGGAAAACCACCAACACCUAAACCUAUGCUCCCUAGUUCUUACCUUGAUAUUUCUUUUUCACAACACUUAUUUUCCAUGAUAUGGUGGGGUACUGUUUGGCCACGUUGCCUUGUUAAUUGGUUCAUCAAUAACUAUUCCAACAUUUGAAGUCAACAAUAUUAUGUUUAUUUACUAGUAAAAGUUUAUGGUCAAUCAAACUGCUCAAGAGUCUAGCACCUCACCUUUACAUAGUAUCUCUCCAAUCCAUCCCUUCACUUUUCAUUUUGAUAUUUCAAAUAUUUUGUUUUUGGCUAAUGGCUCUAUUUCCCUUUCUUUGUUAUCUUUUUUUCAUAGCUGCAUACCAUGCAAAAGCCGAUGAUGCAUUAUGUGAUAACAACAUAGGCAACUACACAUCCAAUAGCACCUAUGACAACAACCUUAAAACUCUUUUGUCCAGUCUUUCUUCUCAUACAGAAAUCAACUACGGUUUCUACAAUUUCUCAUAUGGCGAAGAACCAAACAAAGCAUAUGUCAUAGGGGUGUGUCGCGGAGAUAUUGAGCCAAAUCAGUGUCGUACAAACCUAAACAAUUCCAUUGGUUAUCUCAGAGAGCAGUGUCCAAACCAAAAAGAGGCAAUUGUGUGGGGUGGUGAUUUCACUUUGUGGUACUCGAAUCGCUCAAUUUUUGGGCUCUUGGAAACUUCACCUACACUCUAUUUGUAUUUACAACGGAAUACAAGUUAUGUGGAUCAGUACAUGCAAGCAGUGGCUAACUUGAUGCGAAAUCUAACGGCCAAAGCUGCUUUAGGUGACUCGCGUCGUAAGUACGAAGCAGAUAGUGUCUUUGAAACUACAAGUUUCGAAACCAUAUACGGUUAUGUGCUUUGUAUGCCUGAUUUGUCAUCGCAACAAUGCACCGAUUGCUUGAACGCAGCUAUCUCAGAAAUCCCAAAUUGUUGUAACGGGAAGAUGGGAGGAAAUGUUCUUAAACCAAGUUGUCGUCUUAGAUAUGAUCCUUAUCGCUUCUUCAAUUCCACGAUUGUCUUAGACUCACCACCAUCCACCAAUAACACUUCUUCAGGUACCAAAUUACCAUCAUCUCUGUCUACUUCAAGGAAAGUCUUUCCAAUAGCACUUGUAAACCGGAUCAGAACACUGGGUUACCGGGUCAAUGGUCCUAUCUGAUGACAACUGUCUUUCCAAAUUAAUAUAUUGCAUUUAGCAUUUAUGGUGAUAAUGAACUUGCAAAACAAUACUUGUUAAAUUAAUUUGAUAAAAUUACCAUCAUUUUAUUUUAUUUUUUGUGUUUCAAAAUGAUCAAAUGUGAUAUUAAUUGUGACACGAAUUUUAUCAUAGUUUUAAUCUAUUGAAUGUCACUGACGAUUUAAAUUAAUUUGUGCAGGACAAAGCAAAACUGGAACAGUCAUUGCUGUUGUAGUGCCCGUUGUUACCGUGGUUUUGGUGCUCAUUUUGAUUUGCAUCUACUUAAGAUUGAGAAAGCGAAAGCAAUUCUCCAAAGGUGUGUGUAUUUUCCUAAGAUUUCCAUCUAGCAUUAGCCUAAAACUAAAGUUUAAGAUUUUUCAUAAUAACUUGUCCAAAAAUAUUUCUUUUUAAAAUUAUUUUCAACAACCUUGUCAAAGAUGAUUUCCAUUAGUUUUACUUCAAUAAAUUAAAUCUCAUUGUUUUGCAUUUCUAUUACAUUCAUAUCAUAAACGAAAAGGUAACUUAUUCAUCUUGGUUAUUGUGUGAAGCCAAUAAUGGAGCAUAUGAGGAUGGAGAUGAAGAUGAAGAUGAAAUUACGAUUGUCGAGUCUUUGCAAUUUAACUUUGAUACCAUACGAGUUGCUACAAGUGACUUCUCCGAUUCUAAUAAACUUGGACAAGGUGGGUUCGGAGUUGUUUAUCGGGUAAGAUAACACUUUUUUUAUCAUAAAAGUUUCACCAUUUGCAAAACAUUAUUGUUGAAAUAAUACAAUUUAUUAUGCUUAAAAUUGAUAUAUUUCAGGGCAAGCUCCCUAAUGGACAAAUGAUUGCGGUCAAAAGAUUGUCCAAAGAUUCUGACCAAGGAGAUGUGGAAUUUAAAAAUGAAGUACUUUUAGUAGCCAAACUUCAACAUCGAAAUUUAGUUAGGCUACUUGGUUUCAGUUUAGAAGGGAGAGAAAAACUGCUUAUUUAUGAAUAUGUUACAAAUAAAAGUCUUGAUUACUUCAUAUUCAGUAUGUUUACCAACAUAGUUAGAUUAUCGCACAAUUACUAACAAGUGAAACAAUUUUGAAAUUCACAUGGUAUUGGUUAUAUAUGUAGAUCCAGCCAGAAGAGCACAAUUGAAUUGGGAAAAGCGCUAUGAUAUCAUAAAAUGUAUUGUUCGAGGUCUUAUUUAUCUUCAUGAGGAUUCUCGCCUCCGCAUUAUACACCGUGAUCUCAAAGCUAGCAAUAUUCUCUUAGACGACGGGAUGAAUCCUAAAAUAUCCGAUUUUGGAUUGGCGAGAUUGUUUGUUAUUGAUCAAACUCAAGGAAAUACAAGUAAAAUUGUUGGAACCUAGUAAGUUUCUAAAUAUGUAUGAGCUUACUAACUGAUGUUAAUUCGAAUCAACCAUAAGCAAGAUAAUAAUUUCACUUUGUUACUUAGUCAAUGUUCAACAAUUUAUUCAAAUGGUUUGAUGUUUUACUUGAAUCUUAUAAGAGCCAAACCUUUUAAGCACAUAUCACUUUGUAUGAUUGAUCAAUAACAUAAAAUACAUUUAAACUAGAAGAAAUAAAAAUAGAACUUCGUAUGUGGCGAUUCAAUUAUAGGAAAACUAUUAAUUUAAACUAUCAUUUUUUUUUUACUGAUUAAGCUUCUCUAUAUUGGUAUGCAGUGGAUAUAUGGCACCUGAGUAUGCAAUGCAUGGACAAUUUUCGGUAAAAUCGGAUGUCUUUAGUUUCGGAGUAUUGGUUCUUGAGAUUUUAAGUGGUCAUAAAAAUAGUACAAACAUUGGUCAAGGAAAUGAUGUAGAGUAUCUAUUGAGUUAUGUAAGUAUUAUUUUUCUCUAUAUUUUAUUUCUUGUAAUUAAAAUGUAUAGAUUAUAAUAUUUUGUGAUCCCAACAAUAUUAUCGAAAUUGAUUCAUGGGCUAAUUGCAUUUUGGUUAUCUAAACUUGAGCAAAUUAUUGCAGGCAUGGAAAUGCUGGAGGGAGGGGAAAGCACACAAUAUUAUAGAUCCAGCAUUAAACAAUAUUUCAGCAAAUGAAAUAAUGAGAUGUAUCCAUAUUGCCUUACUUUGUGUUCAAGAAAAUGUAGUUGACAGACCAACCAUGGCUGCUGUUGCACUCAUGCUUAAUAGUUAUUCUCUCACUCUCUCAAUACCUUCAAAACCUGCCUAUUUUUAUGGAAGUGGAACUAGAAGCCUACAUGACAUGGAGUUAUGGGCUGGCA
RNAcentral lists this long non-coding RNA (4409 nucleotides) under Medicago truncatula (barrel medic). RNAcentral describes it as "long non-coding RNA (MTRU_LNC007811)". Lineage: Eukaryota; Viridiplantae; Streptophyta; Magnoliopsida; Fabales; Fabaceae. The record is from RNAcentral.